AGUGAACGCUGGCGGUAGGCCUAACACAUGCAAGUCGAACGGCAGCACAGUAAGAGCUUGCUCUUACGGGUGGCGAGUGGCGGACGGGUGAGGAAUACAUCGGAAUCUACUUUUUCGUGGGGGAUAACGUAGGGAAACUUACGCUAAUACCGCAUACGACCUACGGGUGAAAGCAGGGGAUCUUCGGACCUUGCGCGAUUGAAUGAGCCGAUGUCGGAUUAGCUAGUUGGCGGGGUAAAGGCGCACCAAGGCGACGAUCCGUAGCUGGUCUGAGAGGAUGAUCAGCCACACUGGAACUGAGACACGGUACAGACUCCUACGGGAGGCAGCAGUGGGGAAUAUUGGACAAUGGGCGCAAGCCUGAUCCAGCCAUACCGCGUGGGUGAAGAAGGCCUUCGGGUUGUAAAGCCCUUUUGUUGGGAAAGAAAAGCAGCAGGUUAAUACCCCGCUGUUCUGACGGUACCCAAAGAAUAAGCACCGGCUAACUUCGUG
This 492-nucleotide ribosomal RNA is filed under the name uncultured bacterium. RNAcentral's name for it is "partial 16S ribosomal RNA". It matches the Rfam family "Bacterial small subunit ribosomal RNA", at positions 29 to 507 of the family's 1533-position model. The record is from RNAcentral.